UCAGGAGUAGCUCAGUGGUAGAGCAGUUGACUGUUAAUCAAUUGGUCGCGAGUUCGAAUCUCGCCUCCUGAGCCA
RNAcentral lists this transfer RNA (75 nucleotides) under bacterium. RNAcentral's name for it is "tRNA-Asn". It matches the Rfam family "tRNA". From Rfam's summary of the family: Transfer RNA (tRNA) molecules are approximately 80 nucleotides in length. Their secondary structure includes four short double-helical elements and three loops (D, anti-codon, and T loops). The record is from RNAcentral.